CGGGUGGGUGAAAGACCCGAGCUAACAUGGGGUUAGUUCGUUAAAUUACAAUAAAGCCUCGUGCAGUUUGCAGCAAGCUCUCGAAUCCGCCUGGUGAUUGGGGUGACCACGAACCUGGCCUGAGACCCCGGAUACUUGAGUUUUCGGGGGUCUAACAUUUUGGGGGCUCGUCCGCGAUUUUCGACCACCCUUCACCUGAGUGGAUUCGAUCUUGGAGCACAUGGCAUGGGAAAGGAGUUCUGCCAUGUGUCACGGGUUAGAAUGUGUUAUGUUGGAGUCCCCCGAGGCUGCUUUUCUGAACUCGAACCACUGCUGCAGCCCUUACAGCUGAGCCUGGCCCAUGUAGACAGACUGCCAGAUCCUGACAGUGACCCAAAGUCUCCAAAGAAGAUUACGAGGCACCUCAGUUCCUGCACCUGGACCAGUGAGCGAGAUGCUCAGAUGUGAAACCUGCCGCCUGCCAGAACCUGGCCGAGAAUGUGGACAAAGCUGCUGGACACUGGAAAAUUGAUUGCACCCCUUUGCCUAGACAAAACAAGGUCAGUCUUUUCCAUGUCCCUCUUCCACAGAGAGGAAAAAAAACUCUCACAGUAUAGGCCUGGCGAAGAUUGCUGUUCUUUGAGACACCUGCCUCCAGCGACAUCUGAGUAUCAGUACUCACUACAGGCUGUUCUAAGUAGACUGCGAGCCCUGGACUUGCUGUGGAUGUGAACCAGUUCAGCUGAUAUGGACACCCCCUGUCUCUGCAACAGUGUCUGCUAACCAGAAGCCCCUAAUAAAUUCCCCAUUGCCUAAAUUCCUUUUUGCUUUUGACUAGCAUUUCAACCUUCUGGGGUCCCUAACUUCGUCCCAAAGUCAGCAGGAAGCAGUUUGGAAAAGAAUUUCGCCGUCCAUUUUCCCUGGUUAAAAUGCUAAGUCAAAAGGAACUCCC
This 931-nucleotide long non-coding RNA is filed under the name Cricetulus griseus (Chinese hamster). RNAcentral's name for it is "lncRNA (ENSCGRG00015036482.1)". Lineage: Eukaryota; Metazoa; Chordata; Mammalia; Rodentia; Cricetidae. The record is from RNAcentral.